GUGGGGAAUAUUGCACAAUGGGCGAAAGCCUGAUGCAGCGACGCCGCGUGAGGGAUUAAGGCCUUCGGGUUGUAAACCUCUUUCAGCAGGGAAGAAGUGCCUGGGUUUUCUUGGGUGUGACGGUACCUGCAGAAGAAGCACCGGCUAACUACGUGCCAGCAGCCGCGGUAAUACGUAGGGUGCAAGCGUUGUCCGGAAUUAUUGGGCGUAAAGAGCUUGUAGGCGGUUUGUCGCGUCUGCUGUGAAAUUUCGGGGCUCAACCCCGAACUUGCAGUGGGUACGGGCAGACUAGAGUGUGGUAGGGGAGACUGGAAUUCCUGGUGUAGCGGUGAAAUGCGCAGAUAUCAGGAGGAACACCGAUGGCGAAGGCAGGUCUCUGGGCCACUACUGACGCUGAGAAGCGAAAGCAUGGGGAGCGAACAGGAUUAGAUACCCCGGUAGUCC
This 444-nucleotide ribosomal RNA is filed under the name uncultured bacterium. RNAcentral describes it as "bacterial SSU rRNA". It matches the Rfam family "Bacterial small subunit ribosomal RNA", at positions 354 to 796 of the family's 1533-position model. The record is from RNAcentral.